Molecule: ribosomal RNA, 250 nt
Filed under: uncultured bacterium
Lineage: Bacteria
Description: partial 16S ribosomal RNA
Rfam family: Bacterial small subunit ribosomal RNA
Source: RNAcentral
GACGAACGCUGGCGGCGCGCUUAACACAUGCAAGUCGAGCGAUGAAAUCUUAACAGAACCCUUCGGGGCGAAGAUAAGACGGAUUAGCGGCGGACGGGUGAGUAACACGUGAGUAACCUGCCUUUUACACAGGGAUAGCCUCGGGAAACCGGGAUUAAAACCUGAUGAAACUAUCAAAUCACAUGAUUAAGAAAGUUAAAACUCCGGUGGUAAAAGAUGGACUCGCGUCCCAUUAGCUAGUUGGUGAAGG